RNAcentral lists this ribosomal RNA (312 nucleotides) under Triticum aestivum (bread wheat). RNAcentral describes it as "partial small subunit ribosomal RNA". Lineage: Eukaryota; Viridiplantae; Streptophyta; Magnoliopsida; Poales; Poaceae. The record is from RNAcentral.
AUGGCUCUUAAAAAGGAUGGAAAAUCUUAUGUUGAUGCUAAUGAACUUUAUGCGGAUUUGAUGUUUCUUCAAAAUUUCACACCAAAAGAAAAUAUUGGGCCGGAUGGAAUUCUAAAGUUUUUUAAGCGGCACGCUUGUUUCCACAAUGCAAGUGUUGCAUAUAGAAUUCUGUUGAUUAUCCCUGUGACUAUUGUAUCAGCAAAACGAAGCUUUUCUACCAUGACACAACAAAGACUCACUGAUUUGGCCACGAUAGCGUUGGAGAGUGAUGCAUUGGAGAAGAUUGAUUAUGAGGAUAUUAUUGAAAUUUGA